AACAACGCAACUUCCGCCACACAAGGUCACACUCAGCACAUUGGGCGACCGACGUCUCAAGUUUGGAGAAACAGAUCAAAGUGAGUCGACCACCGACGCUUCCAAUUUUGAACAGCUCACCCGAGAACAAAGAGCGGCGACAGAAGCCUUGAACUGUUGAGUUGGUCAAAGAUGAACUUUAACCUCCCCAAGUCUUCCACUCACUCCUCCAACCCGGCGAAUGCUGAGAAAAUCAAACGUAGGACCUCGUGCCGACCAAAGGUCUCCGCCAGAGAUACCUCAACAGACAUGAGUGCCCUCCAGAAGGGGCGUGUCAUGACGGAAGUCAGGAACUCCAAGGACGUCUUCCAGACAGUCAAAGACCGUCUCUGUCUCUGGCCUACAAGUGAUGAGAUCAUUUGCAUGUUGAUGCUGCUGAAGAGUGAGCAGUCAUCUCCAUCGUACAGGACAGGCGUGAACAUACCACCUCGCCCCGUCACACAGACAGCAUCCAGCGACGCUUUUAUGGUCCUCUUCUAAUAAAAGGCAAGAAAUGGAUUAGAAAAAAAUUAUCUGGCCAUUUGACUCCGCCCUAGUUGAAAGAUUCUGGAAGUUUCUUCAGUGGGCAUGUGGGAGACAUGAACAACAGUUGUAGUGUUAUUGAAUUUGGUUCUUUGAGUGAGCGAUUCAUGUGGUUCUACUUGAGUGAUUUUGUAUUUCUAGCUAUUUGUGUAUUUCUGCGCGAGUUUUCUAGCUUCCUUAGAUUGUUCCCACAUAGUGGAUGUAUGGGGCUAUGCUAGGUCUACUUCCUUAGAUUUAUCCCACAUAGGUCUAAUGGAUGGGGCUAUGCUAGGUCUAAUUCAGUUUGAUCUCACAUAGUGGAUGGGGCUAUGCUAGGUCUACUUCCUUAGAUUGGUCUCACAUAGAUCUGAUGGAUGGGGUUGGGCUAGGUCUACCCUUUUGUUCAAACAAUACUUCUUGUUUUGUGUCAGUAGACCCGUCAGUUCACACAUCUUAUGAUUCUGGUUAACAUUUAAAUCUUAAAAUACAAAUUAUAUAUUUUUUUCCCUGCAGAUUUUUUUCUUCUUGUGUAUCGGAAUAUGUAAAGCCACAUAAAUAUUCUCUACGGCCACAUGACCAUUUAGUCAUAGCAGGUCAAUAGGUCAUUAUGGUAUGGAGUCUUGUGUGCUCGAGAGGUCUUAAAUGGUCUGUAAAUCAUACGGCCUGUAGGUCAUAUUGUCUGUAGGUCAGGUCAGGUCUAUAGGUCACAUCUGGUCUGUAGGUCGUCUCUGGUCUUACGUCAUAUCAAAUCCUAAGUAAAAUUUCUAAUUUUUAUGGACUAGUCACCGAUGCCACCAAAAUGUUUAACGGGCGAUAACCGGUUUUUUAAAAGUUACCUUUAUUAGUCGCGAGUUAACUCCCUGCACCCCGACACUCUAGGAAAACAAGCCUUGUAACUCUUGUAAACUUUGAUUUGUAUCUAUGUAUUUUGAUAUUUUUAAAUUCAUUUUUAUAUCACGUUUUUUAUAAGUACAAUAAACUUUCAUUACACAA
Physella acuta is the source of this 1533-nucleotide RNA transcript. RefSeq lists it as uncharacterized. The record is from RefSeq and is a predicted model, not a curated record. NCBI's taxonomy places the organism in Eukaryota, Metazoa, Mollusca, Gastropoda, Physidae.